RNAcentral lists this ribosomal RNA (396 nucleotides) under uncultured bacterium. RNAcentral's name for it is "partial 16S ribosomal RNA". It matches the Rfam family "Bacterial small subunit ribosomal RNA", at positions 523 to 918 of the family's 1533-position model. The record is from RNAcentral.
AUACAGAGGGUGCAAGCGUUAAUCGGAUUUACUGGGCGUAAAGCGCGCGUAGGUGGCUAAUUAAGUCAAAUGUGAAAUCCCCGAGCUUAACUUGGGAAUUGCAUUCGAUACUGGUUAGCUAGAGUAUGGGAGAGGAUGGUAGAAUUCCAGGUGUAGCGGUGAAAUGCGUAGAGAUCUGGAGGAAUACCGAUGGCGAAGGCAUCCAUCUGGCCUAAUACUGACACUGAGUUGCGAAAGCAUGGGGAGCAAACAGGAUUAGAUACCCUGGUAGUCCAUGCCGUAAACGAUGUCUACUAGACGUUGGGGCCCUUGAGGCUUUAGUGGCGCAGCUAACGCGAUAAGUAGACCGCCUGGGGAGUACGGUCGCAAGACUAAAACUCAAAUGAAUUGACGGGG